GGAGGCGGCCAAACAGCCAAGAGACCCCAGAUGCAGUCAUGGCGCCGACUGCCGCAGCGUCCGCGCAGGCGCAGCCGACUUGGCGGGUUCUUAGAAACAGACCAAUUGUGGGGACUACUAUGAGUCUUGAAUUUAGGAGGAUUCUGCAGAUGUUUCCCUUGUCUCCUGGAAUUCAAGGAUCUUGAUCGAAAGGAAUGUGAAUCCACACACAGCCAGAUAGCAGGCCCACAAGCAUGGUGAACGUCCCUAAAAUCCACCGG
Tupaia belangeri chinensis (Chinese tree shrew) is the source of this 260-nucleotide long non-coding RNA. RefSeq lists it as uncharacterized. NCBI's taxonomy places the organism in Eukaryota, Metazoa, Chordata, Mammalia, Scandentia, Tupaiidae. The record is from RefSeq and is a predicted model, not a curated record. The transcript is spliced from 3 exons.